ACGGGAGGCAGCAGUGGGGUAUAUUGGGCAAUGGGCGAAAGCCUGACCCAGCAACGCCGCGUGAAGGAAGAAGGCCUUCGGGUUGUAAACUUCUUUUACCAGGGACGAAGGACGUGACGGUACCUGGAGAAAAAGCAACGGCUAACUACGUGCCAGCAGCCGCGGUAAUACGUAGGUUGCAGGCGUUGUCCGGAUUUACUGGGUGUAAAGGGCGUGUAGGCGGAGAGGCAAGUCAGAUGUGAAAUCCCGGGGCUCAACCCCGGAACUGCAUUUGAAACUGUCUCCCUUGAGUAUCGGAGAGGCAAGCGGAAUUCCUAGUGUAGCGGUGAAAUGCGUAGAUAUUAGGUGGAACACCAGUAGCGAAGGCGGCUUACUGGACUGACACUGACGCUGAGGCACGAAAGCGUGGGGAGCAAACAGGAUUAGAUACCCUGGUA
RNAcentral lists this ribosomal RNA (437 nucleotides) under uncultured Oscillospiraceae bacterium. Its description in RNAcentral is "bacterial SSU rRNA". It matches the Rfam family "Bacterial small subunit ribosomal RNA", at positions 341 to 792 of the family's 1533-position model. Lineage: Bacteria; Bacillati; Bacillota; Clostridia; Eubacteriales; Oscillospiraceae. The record is from RNAcentral.